GCUUAGCCCUAAACAUCGGACGUUCCUACAACACACCCCGCCAGAGAAUUACAAGCAAAAGCUCCAAACUCAAAGGACUUGGCGGUGCCCUACACCAUCCUAGAGGAGCCUGUCCUAUAAUCGAUACCCCACGUUAAACCUCACCACAUUUUGCAACCGUCAGCCUAUAUACCGCCGUCGUAUGUUUACCCCAUGAGGGUGCAUAAGUAAACACAACAGUAACAUACUAAAACAUCAGGUCAAGGUGUAGCUAACAAAGUGGAAGCGAUGGGCUACAUUUUCUACAACAGAACACACGACAAAUACAAUGAAAUACUGCAUUACAAGGUGGAUUUAGCAGUAAACUAAGGCAAGAAUGCCAACUUUAACCCUGCUCUGGGGCGCGCACACACCGCCCGUCACCCUCAUCAAAAACAAUUAUAAACCGUCCAUUAACCAAUAAAACC
RNAcentral lists this ribosomal RNA (446 nucleotides) under Rhineura floridana. Its description in RNAcentral is "partial 12S ribosomal RNA". It matches the Rfam family "Bacterial small subunit ribosomal RNA", at positions 794 to 1445 of the family's 1533-position model. The record is from RNAcentral. Lineage: Eukaryota; Metazoa; Chordata; Lepidosauria; Squamata; Rhineuridae.